RNAcentral lists this unclassified non-coding RNA (449 nucleotides) under Hevea brasiliensis (rubber tree). Lineage: Eukaryota; Viridiplantae; Streptophyta; Magnoliopsida; Malpighiales; Euphorbiaceae. The record is from RNAcentral.
CUCUCUCAGCCUCACCACCACCAACCAGCUCUCUUUCUUCUUCCUGGCAACAGGUCUCACAAGUCCAUAUCCCUCCCUUCAAUCACCGCCGUCCAUGCGGCCGAGCCCGCUAAGAAUACUGUCUCAGUGAAAGAGUCCAGGGCACCAUCAGCCCCGGGCACUGGCAAAUGGACGCUGGACAGCUGGAAGACGAAGAAAGCUUUGCAGCUUCCGGAAUACCCUGAUGCGAAUGAGCUGGAGUCUGUGUUGAAGACUAUUGAGACAUUUCCGCCAAUUGUUUUCGCUGGGGAAGCCAGGAGUUUGGAAGAGAGGCUCGCUGAGGCUGCCAUGGGGAAUGCAUUUUUGUUGCAAGGUGGUGAUUGUGCAGAGAGUUUCAAGGAGUUUAGCGCUAAUAACAUAAGGGAUACUUUUAGAAUUCUGCUUCAGAUGGGUGUUGUGCUUAUGUUUGG